GAACGUAAGAUGACUGUAGGUGAAAGCUUACAUCUCUUCGGAGCAUUUUACGAGGUGCUGCAUGGUUGUCGUCAGCUCGUGCCGUGAGGUGUCGGGUUAAGUCCCAUAACGAGCGCAACCCUACCUUUAGUUGCCAUCAGGUAAUGCUGGGGACUCUAAAGGAACUGCCUACGCAAGUAGUGAGGAAGCGGGGAUGACGUCAAAUCAGCAGGCCCUUACGUCCAGGGCUACACACGUGCUACAAUGGCCGAUACAGAGGGCAGCUACCUGGUGACAGGAUGCAAAUCUCCAAAGUCGGUCUCAGUUCGGAUCGGAGUCUGCAACCCGACUCCGUGAAGUUGGAUUCGCUAGUAAUCGCGCAUCAGCCAUGGCGCGGUGAAUACGUUCCCGGGCCUU
This 396-nucleotide ribosomal RNA is filed under the name uncultured Sphingobacteriales bacterium. Its description in RNAcentral is "bacterial SSU rRNA". It matches the Rfam family "Bacterial small subunit ribosomal RNA", at positions 983 to 1382 of the family's 1533-position model. The record is from RNAcentral. Lineage: Bacteria; Pseudomonadati; Bacteroidota; Sphingobacteriia; Sphingobacteriales.